AGCAGCCGCGGUAAUUCCAGCUCCAAUAGCGUAUAUUAAAGUUGUUGCAGUUAAAAAGCUCGUAGUUGAAUUUCGGGACCAAAUUGUCGGUCGUGCCUCGGUACGUACUGGCGUUAUUGGUUCCUCCCUUCUGAAGAACUACGAUGUCAUUAAUUUGGUGUCGCGGGGAAUCAGGACUGUUACUUUGAAAAAAUUAGAGUGUUUAAAGCAGGCUCGCGCUUGAAUACAUUAGCAUGGAAUAAUGAAAUAGGACGUUUGAUUCUAUUUUGUUGGUUUCUAGGAUCGACGUAAUGAUUAAUAGGGAUAGUUGGGGGCAUUAGUAUUCAAUUGUCAGAGGUGAAAUUCUUGGAUUUAUUGAAGACUAACUACUGCGAAAGCAUUUGCCAAGGAUGUUUUCAUUAAUCAAGAACGAAAGUUAGGGGAUCGAAGACGAUCAGAUACCGUCGUAGUCUUAACCAUAAACUAUGCCGACUAGGGAUCGGAUGAUGUUAAUUUUUUAAUGUACUCAUUCGGCGCCUUA
This 520-nucleotide ribosomal RNA is filed under the name uncultured Glomus. RNAcentral describes it as "SSU rRNA". It matches the Rfam family "Eukaryotic small subunit ribosomal RNA", at positions 569 to 1090 of the family's 1831-position model. Lineage: Eukaryota; Fungi; Glomeromycota; Glomeromycetes; Glomerales; Glomeraceae. The record is from RNAcentral.